Molecule: ribosomal RNA, 460 nt
Filed under: uncultured bacterium
Lineage: Bacteria
Description: partial 16S ribosomal RNA
Rfam family: Bacterial small subunit ribosomal RNA
Source: RNAcentral
CCUACGGGAGGCUGCAGUGAGGAAUAUUGGUCAAUGGACGAGAGUCUGAACCAGCCAAGUAGCGUGAAGGAUGACUGCCCUAUGGGUUGUAAACUUCUUUUAUCUGGGAAUAACAUGUUCCACGUGUGGGAUUUUGUAUGUACCAUAUGAAUAAGGAUUGGCUAACUCCGUGCCAGCAGCCGCGGUAAUACGGAGGAUCCGAGCGUUUUCCGGAUUUGUUGGGUUUAAAGGGAGCGUAGGUGGAUUGUUAAGUCAGUUGUGAAAGUUUGCGGCUCAACCGUAAAACUGCAGUUGAAACUGGCAGUCUUGAGUACAGUAGAGGUAGGCGGAAUGCGUGGUGUAGCGGUGAAAUGCUUAGAUAUCACGAAGAACUCCGAUUGCGAAGGCAGUUCACUGGACUGCAACUGACACUGAGGCUCGAAAGUGUGGGUAUCAAACAGGAUUAGAUACCCCUGUAGUC